Molecule: long non-coding RNA, 951 nt
Filed under: Equus caballus (horse)
Lineage: Eukaryota; Metazoa; Chordata; Mammalia; Perissodactyla; Equidae
Description: lncRNA (ENSECAG00000051394.1)
Source: RNAcentral
GUUCAUUAGGACAGUGUCAGCUAUAACUUCUUUGGUUUCCAAGACACUGUACAUAAUCUGAUACCUAAGUCUCAUAUUGCCCAGGAAUGUACUGUACGUUUCCUGUAAGAGGUUUAAAGGUCUUGGUUUCCUAAAGGGGAACAUUUCUACCAGGGAACACAGCAAGAAUCUUCAUUGGACUUUAAGCUACACCACCACCCAGGCACUUUGGGUCUGUGGGGACUGGAAUCGGCCACCCCCAGGUUCCUCAUGCUAAGGACCAGCAGGCAAGAGAAAGAUCUGUCGACGAAAAUAAUCCAUAACCAAUCUGUAAAUGAAAAUUUGGAUCCUGGCGGGGGUAAUUGACUCCUAUCAAGAGGCGGUGGAACUGCUGUUUUACAACUUUCAGUACUGUCUUGUGCAAUUUUGAUGGCAAAUGGAUAAGCACAGCAGGUGCAGCCUGAGAGGAGCAUGGUAAACAGUAACUGGAACUCAUCAGUUUUGAGUGUCUGAGUCACUCCACUUGGUAAAACACUUAAACCUUCAGAGGUGCUAAUCAACAGUGAGGAAAAUCUGGAAUGGACAAGAGACAAGGGAGAGGAUGAAUAUAAGUUGCAGUCUCAAGACCAGCUGUAGGAGCAGAGAGGUUGUAGUUCAUCUUACUAAUCUUCCUUUUAUAAGUUUCCCCCAGGAAAGAGGUCCACCAAUGUACUGAAGGAGCUACUCUCAGAACUCAUAUGAAGAAAGUGGAUCUGAAUGGCACAAGGUCUGGACCAUCCCGGAAGCUAUGCUGCCCUUUCCAGACCACACCUGUCAGCCCUCUUAGAAAUUGCUUCAGCUGAAGAGAGCUGCUUUGCUCAGUCAGGUCCCCUCUGGGCAGCCAGUGUCCACUGACUAAUUGACACCCAAUCCUAUUUUCUUUUGUUCCACAGUUGUUGAUUGCAGGACUCUCUAAUAAACUUCCUAUGUGCU